GAUGAACGCUGGCGGCGUGCCUAAUACAUGCAAGUCGAGCAAACGGACGAGAAGCUUGCUUCUCUGAUGUUAGCGGCGGACGGGUGAGUAACACGUGGAUAACCUACCUAUAAGACUGGGAUAACUUCGGGAAACCGGAGCUAAUACCGGAUAAUAUUUUGAACCGCAUGGUUCAAAAGUGAAAGACGGCCUUGCUGUCACUUAUAGAUGGAUCCGCGCUGCAUUAGCUAGUUGGUAAGGUAACGGCUUACCAAGGCAACGAUGCAUAGCCGACCUGAGAGGGUGAUCGGCCACACUGGAACUGAGACACGGUCCAGACUCCUACGGGAGGCAGCAGUAGGGAAUCUUCCGCAAUGGGCGAAAGCCUGACGGAGCAACGCCGCGUGAGUGAUGAAGGUCUUCGGAUCGUAAAACUCUGUUAUUAGGGAAGAACAUAUGUGUAAGUAACUGUGCACAUCUUGACGGUACCUAAUCAGAAAGCCACGGCUAACUACGUG
This 497-nucleotide ribosomal RNA is filed under the name uncultured bacterium. RNAcentral's name for it is "partial 16S ribosomal RNA". It matches the Rfam family "Bacterial small subunit ribosomal RNA", at positions 28 to 507 of the family's 1533-position model. The record is from RNAcentral.